CCUACGGGAGGCAGCAGUGGGGAAUUUUCCGCAAUGGGCGAAAGCCUGACGGAGCAAGACCGCGUGAGGGAGGAAGGCCUAUUGGUUGUAAACCUCUUUUGAUAGGGAAGAACACAAUGACGGUACCUAUCGAAUCAGCAUCGGCUAACUCCGUGCCAGCAGCCGCGGUAAUACGGAGGAUGCAAGCGUUAUCCGGAUUUAUUGGGCGUAAAGCGUCCGUAGGUGGCAAUCCAAGUCAGUUGUUAAAGCGUAGAGCUUAACUCUAUAAGGGCAAUUGAAACUGGAUAGCUAGAGUGCGAUAGGGGCAAGGGGAAUUCCCAGUGUAGCGGUGAAAUGCGUAGAUAUUGGGAAGAACAUCGGUGGCGAAGGCGCCUUGCUGGGUCUGCACUGACACUGAGGGACGAAAGCUAGGGGAGCGAAAGGGGAUUAGAUACCCCUGUAGUCCUAGCCGUAAACGAUGGAUACUAGGCGUUGUCCGUAUCGACCCGGGCAGUGCGUACGCUACGACGUUAGUAUCCGCCGUCGGGUAGGUACGCGUCGCGAGAGUAGAACGUACGAAAGGAAGUUAGUAACGGUCGUGUUAGACGUGCCGACGGACGACGACGAGGGAGGAGG
This 615-nucleotide ribosomal RNA is filed under the name uncultured bacterium. RNAcentral describes it as "bacterial SSU rRNA". The stretch from base 1 to 521 matches the Rfam family "Bacterial small subunit ribosomal RNA", at positions 338 to 873 of the family's 1533-position model. The record is from RNAcentral.